Long non-coding RNA from Seriola aureovittata, 439 nucleotides. RefSeq lists it as uncharacterized. NCBI's taxonomy places the organism in Eukaryota, Metazoa, Chordata, Actinopteri, Carangiformes, Carangidae. The record is from RefSeq and is a predicted model, not a curated record. The transcript is spliced from 3 exons.
GACACCACAAGAAACAGGUGUUACAAAUAUAACUAUUGUAUUCUCAAUAUUGUUUUAAUGACUUCCCGAGUAAAUAAUGUGAUUAUUUCACACUGAACACAUAAGUAUGCCUUUACAUGAAAGCCUUCGUAUUUGAAAAGCGUAUGGCCAUGUGUCACCUGCUUUGAAUGACGACCACAAGCUAAUAACAAGUAGGAUACAGAUCUUUCCUCGUCCAUCAUUCCACCUACAUCCUGGGACUUUUCCUCUAAUUUCAGCUGAGGAGUUUCUUUUUCAUCAACCAUGGAUGCGGCAUCAGCAGCCGAAUUGCCAGAAUCUUCUUCCUUUCCCAGAUGUAACCAUCCUGUCACUGAAGAACCAAGCCAGGAAGCGGAGGGAGACCCACCUUGUUCGUUCGGAGCCGUAGGAUUCUCGUGCGCUUCCUCGUGAAUCCCGGCAG